GGUAAAAUAGUUUAAUCAAAAAAUACCAAUUUGUGGCAUUGGAGAUACUUGUUGUAGUUUUUGCCC
This 66-nucleotide transfer RNA is filed under the name Chiridota heheva. RNAcentral describes it as "tRNA-His". The record is from RNAcentral. Lineage: Eukaryota; Metazoa; Echinodermata; Holothuroidea; Apodida; Chiridotidae.